This 449-nucleotide ribosomal RNA is filed under the name uncultured bacterium. RNAcentral's name for it is "bacterial SSU rRNA". It matches the Rfam family "Bacterial small subunit ribosomal RNA", at positions 28 to 477 of the family's 1533-position model. The record is from RNAcentral.
GACGAACGCUGGCGGCGUGCUUAACACAUGCAAGUCGAACGAGAAGGCGUAGCAAUACGCUUGUAGAGCGGCGAACGGGUGAGUAACACGUGAGCAACCUGCCCCGAAGUCUGGAAUAACAUCGGGAAACCGGUGCUAAUACCGGAUUGCCCCACCUGACCGCAUGAUCGGGUGAGGAAAGAUUUAUCGCUUCGGGAGGGGCUCGCGGCCUAUCAGCUAGUUGGCGGGGUAACGGCCCACCAAGGCGUCGACGGGUAGCUGGUCUGAGAGGACGACCAGCCACACUGGGACUGAGACACGGCCCAGACUCCUACGGGAGGCAGCAGUGGGGAAUAUUGGACAAUGGGCGCAAGCCUGAUCCAGCGAUGCCGCGUGUGUGAAGAAGGCCUGCGGGUUGUAAAGCACUUUCAGUAGGGAAGAAAGCCGAGUGCUAAUAUCACUCGGUCUUG